Molecule: long non-coding RNA, 712 nt
Filed under: Salmo salar (Atlantic salmon)
Lineage: Eukaryota; Metazoa; Chordata; Actinopteri; Salmoniformes; Salmonidae
Description: lncRNA (ENSSSAG00000089121.1)
Source: RNAcentral
CACCCACCAGCCUCAUACCCCCUCUCCUCCCCCCAGCCACAUACACCCUCCCCUCGUCUCCCUCCACAUGUGUGGAAUUAAAUCGCUCCUGGUUCCUCUAGUCUGCUGAGGGCCUCCUGGCUGCUGAUGCUGCUGCUGCUGCUGCCCAGCUGUGUGUGGCCUGCCUGGGCCAGCCUGGGCUCUGAUUACUGGCCAUCUGCAGCAGCAGGAGCCACCCUGAGGACAGACAGACAGCUCUCUAACCCCUGCCUAAAGGCCAGCUCAUCUCUGUGGCUGAGGACAUCGGGAGAGGAAGUCAGUUUACUAGUCGAAAAUAGACGUUUGUCCAAGGACACCAAGACGUGACACUGUGAUAUCUUGUUGACACUGAAACUCGAUGUACUAGUGGUGACUAACGUGUCUACAUGAUCCCACCUGCUCAGCGGUGAAGUCAUUAUAGUGGGAACGAGCGGUGCCAGAUUACUGUGACCUGCAGCCCCCUCCAGAUGGACGCUCUCCCAGCUGGCUAACUCCUUUUAAGGAGCUUCAUUAUUACCAUGCCGCUCUUUGGUUAGGUUACACACACAGGGAUGUACACACACACACACACACACACACACACACAGGGAUGUACACAAGCGUACAAACACACACAUACACACAUUCCUUUGUGCCCAUCUCCUUUGCCAUCUCAGAGGAGGCAGUAGGGAGGAGAGGGGGCAGUGCGUGGGGG